UGGGGUGUAGCUCAGUGGCAGAGUAUAUGAUCAGCAAGCACAAGGCCCUGGGUUUUAUCCCCAGCAUCACAA
Non-coding RNA from Ictidomys tridecemlineatus (thirteen-lined ground squirrel), 72 nucleotides. The record is from Rfam. NCBI's taxonomy places the organism in Eukaryota, Metazoa, Chordata, Mammalia, Rodentia, Sciuridae.